AGAGUUUGAUCAUGGCUCAGAACGAACGCUGGCGGCAGGCCUCAAACAUGCAAGUCUAGGGGACGUAGCAAUACGUCACCGGCGGACGGGUGCGUAACACGUGGGAACAUACCUUUCGGUACGGAACAACUGAGGGAAACUUCAGCUAAUACCGUAUACGCCCGUAAGGGGAAAGAAUUUCGCCGAAAGAUUGGCCCGCGUUCGAUUAGCUAGUUGGUGAGGUAAUGGCUCACCAAGGCUCCGAUCGAUAGCUGUUCUGAGAGGAAGAUCAGCCACACUGGGACUGAGACACGGCCCAGACUCCUACGGGAGGCAGCAGCUGGGAAUCUUGGACAAUGGGGGAAACCCUGAUCCAGCCAUGCCGCGUGAGUGAUGAAGGCCUUCGGGUUGUAAAGCUCUUUUACCCGGGAAGAUAAUGACUGUACCGGGAGAAUAAGCUCCGGCUAACUUCGUGCCAGCAGCCGCGGUAAUACGAAGGGGGCUAGCGUUGUUCGGAAUUACUGGGCGUAAAGCGCGCGCAGGCGGCUUCUCAAGUCAGUGGUGAAAGCCCGGAGCUCAACUCCGGAAAUGCCAUUGAAACUGUGAAGCUUGAGGACGAGAGAGGUGAGUGGAAUUCCCAGUGUAGAGGUGAAAUUCGUAGAUAUUGGGAAGAACACCGGUGGCGAAGGCGGCUCACUGGCUCGUUUCUGACGCUCAGGCGCGACAGCGUGGGGAUCAAACAGGAUUAGAUACCCUAGUAGUCC
This 743-nucleotide ribosomal RNA is filed under the name uncultured bacterium. RNAcentral describes it as "bacterial SSU rRNA". It matches the Rfam family "Bacterial small subunit ribosomal RNA", at positions 8 to 796 of the family's 1533-position model. The record is from RNAcentral.